AAGUCGAACUUUGGUUUGGGCUUGUGCCUGGCGCCUUCAUUGGGCGUUUGGGUUGCAUGCCUUGCCAUGUGUAGGGGUGCAGUCUUUCGGGGCUGAUGAUCUCUGCGUAUUACCAUGAGCAAAUCAGAGUGCUCAAAGCAGGCUUUAUAGCUUGAAUGUUUUAGCAUGGAAUAAUGAAAUAAGCUUUAGGUCUUGUUUCGUUGGUUUACUUGACACUGGGGAAUGAUGAAUAGGAACGGUUGGGGGCAUUUGUAUUUGGCCGCUAGAGGUGAAAUUCUUGGAUUGGCCGAAGACAAACUACUGCGAAAGCAUUUGACCCAGGACGUUUUCAUUGAUCAGGGACUAAAGUUGAGGGAUCGAAGACGAUUAGAUACCGUCGUAGUCUUAACCACAAACUAUGCCGACUAGCGAUCGCAUGGAUACUUUUUUUGUUCUAUGCGGCAGCUUAGCGAAAGUAAAGUCUUUGGGUUCUGGGGGGAGUAUGGGACGCAAGGCUGAAACUUAAAGGAAUUGACGGAAGGGCACCACCAGGAGUGGAGCCUGCGGCUUAAUUUGACUCAACACGGGGAAACUCACCAGGUCCAGACAUAAGAAGGAUUGACAGAUUGAAAGCUCUUUCUAGAUUUUAUGGGUGGUGGUGCAUGGCCGUUCUUAGUUCGUGGAGUGAUUUGUCUGGUUAAUUCCGAUAACGGACGAGACCGUAUGGAAUAGUUGGAUGGGCCCAUCUUUUGAUGGGUUGUAUGAGACUCUUGUCUCCCAUCCGCCUAUUCCGACUACUGAAUUCAAUUCAGGGGAAGUAUGGCAAUAACAGGUCUGUGAUGCCCUUAGAUGUUCUGGGCCGCACGCGCGCUACACUGACAAAGGCAACGAGUUUUUUCCUUGGCCGGAAGGUCUGGGUAAACUUUUGAAACUUUGUCGUGCUGGGGAUAGAGCAUUGCAAUUAUUGCUCUUCAACGAGGAAUUCCUAGUAAGCGCAAGUCAUCAGCUUGCGUUGAUUACGUCCCUGCCCUUUGUACACACCGCCCGUCGCUACUACCGAUUGAAUGGCU
Molecule: ribosomal RNA, 1049 nt
Filed under: uncultured fungus
Lineage: Eukaryota; Fungi
Description: SSU rRNA
Rfam family: Eukaryotic small subunit ribosomal RNA
Source: RNAcentral